GGGGAAAUAGCUCAGUUGGUUAGAGUGCUGGUCUGUCACGCCAGAAGUCGCGGGUUCGAAGCCCGUUUUCCCCG
Molecule: transfer RNA, 74 nt
Filed under: Juncus effusus
Lineage: Eukaryota; Viridiplantae; Streptophyta; Magnoliopsida; Poales; Juncaceae
Also listed under: 1 other name
Description: tRNA-Asp
Rfam family: tRNA
About the family: Transfer RNA (tRNA) molecules are approximately 80 nucleotides in length. Their secondary structure includes four short double-helical elements and three loops (D, anti-codon, and T loops). Further hydrogen bonds mediate the characteristic L-shaped molecular structure. tRNAs have two regions of fundamental functional importance: the anti-codon, which is responsible for specific mRNA codon recognition, and the 3' end, to which the tRNAs corresponding amino acid is attached (by aminoacyl-tRNA synthetases). tRNAs cope with the degeneracy of the genetic code in two manners: having more than one tRNA (with a specific anti-codon) for a particular amino acid; and 'wobble' base-pairing, i.e. permitting non-standard base-pairing at the 3rd anti-codon position.
Source: RNAcentral